GAUCCGGCUCAGGAUGGACGCUGGCGGCGUGCUUAACACAUGCAAGUCGAACGAAGCACUUUAUUACGAUUUCUUCGGAAUGACGAUUUAGUGACUGAGUGGCGGACGGGUGAGUAACGCGUGGGUAACCUGCCUUAUACAGGGGGAUAACAGUUAGAAAUGACUGCUAAUACCGCAUAAGCGCACAGGAUUGCAUGAUCUGGUGUGAAAAACUCCGGUGGUAUAAGAUGGACCCGCGU
RNAcentral lists this ribosomal RNA (239 nucleotides) under uncultured bacterium. RNAcentral's name for it is "partial 16S ribosomal RNA". It matches the Rfam family "Bacterial small subunit ribosomal RNA", at positions 15 to 236 of the family's 1533-position model. The record is from RNAcentral.